Long non-coding RNA from Coffea arabica (coffee), 521 nucleotides. RefSeq lists it as uncharacterized. The record is from RefSeq and is a predicted model, not a curated record. NCBI's taxonomy places the organism in Eukaryota, Viridiplantae, Streptophyta, Magnoliopsida, Gentianales, Rubiaceae.
CUAAAAAAAUAGUGACCUAAACUUCACCCUUGUCUAAGCAAACUAGCCAUUUCUCUCUCUUACCGAGUCUCUUAUUUCCCUUCUCCUCCACCUACCAUGAGCCACACCACCCUCUUCUCCAAAUGGGGUGGCUUCAAUCACUCUUCUCUCCAUUGAAGAAACUGUGGUUUCGUAUCCACUCAGCUCACAGAAAGAGUAGGGGGAUAUACAUCUUGUAUGAAGAUGUAAAGUCGUGCCAAUAUGAAGACGUGCAUGUACUGUGGUCCAUACUAGUGGAGUCUCAUCCGCCUGCUUUGCCUCCACCAAAAUGCAGCGGCGACACAUAGCACAAAUUUGGAGACUUUAAUCUCAUGUAAAUAUUUUAAUUAAUUAAAGGUUUUCUGUCUUCUUUUUUUGGGUAUCUUUUUUCUUUUCCCAUUUUGAUUUCCGGCAUCAACAGAGAGAGUUCCUCAGAGAAUGUCCCUCUUAAAUUAUGAAUGUAGUAUUUAUCUUUGAGUUAUUCUGAAAUCUUCUUCCAAGAA